Capsella rubella is the source of this 736-nucleotide long non-coding RNA. RefSeq lists it as uncharacterized. The record is from RefSeq and is a predicted model, not a curated record. NCBI's taxonomy places the organism in Eukaryota, Viridiplantae, Streptophyta, Magnoliopsida, Brassicales, Brassicaceae. The transcript is spliced from 3 exons.
CUAGUACAAAAAUUUAGAGCUCUCAAAAAUACAUAAAAAUUGGAAUCUGAGUUUCGAAACCGCUCAUCACAUUUUGAAACCCUUGAAAGCAUGUGAUUUGAUAUAGGAUAUUGGUUGUGAUUAGGCAAGCCCGCUUUCUUCACUCCGGAAAUGAGAGAGAAAGUGAGAAACAAACCAUGUUCUCUUCCGAGGUCUCCACUAUGUAAAUCAAGACCAUAAGACAUAGCUAGAGAGAUGAUGUUUCUUCUUUCAGUUUAAGGCAAUGGAGACAUAGCUAGAGAGAUGAUGUUUCUUGUUUCAGUGUAAGGGCAAUGGCUCCUAAGUCCUAAAUCGUAUGAACGAACGAACGUACGUACGUACGUGCAAGGCGGUGAGAGAUCACGUGUGGACGGUGAGUGAGUGACACGCAAAAACGAAGUGCGUAGAGAGAAGACUAAAAUAAUAAACUCUCCGCAGAAUCUGCCGACUAAAUAAAGAAGAACUGGUAGGACCUGAACGAACAUAUCUAUCUAUCUGCUUAAAUUUGAGUCCCACACCCACUUCGGCGACUUAUCCCAUGCAAAAACCUAAACCUUAGGCCAUGAAUGGUGAAUACAAAAGCGUGGUCCAUAUCGGAGUAACGUCCAUAUGUGAUACCAUUUAAUCCAAUUCUCUCUUUAUUAGCAAUUUUUGUAAUUUUUUUUGUUGAGAUUUGUUGAAUUAACCAAUAUAUAUAGGUAUAAAAUAUUUUUAAACA